AUGGAUUCUGUUAAGGAGAUUCUUCGGCGGGUCCAUUCAGAGAAGAAACCGUGUGUGGAUGGCGAAUCACACCAGCAUUCCCCAACGUCGAUGCCUGCGGCGGUAUCCAAGGUGCUUGAAGACGACGACCUCCUCAGGGAGAUUAUUGUCCGUGUCGGCUUCCCCACCACCCUCGUACGUGCUUCCCUCGUCUGCAAGCGCUGGUACCACCACAUCUCUGACCGCCGGUUCCUCCGCCGCUUCCGCGAGCGCCACCCGCCCCGCCUCCUUGGCUUUUGCCAUGUCCCCGAAGAUGAAUGUUCACAGUUGUCCUGUCCACGCUUCGUCCCUAUUUCGCCUCAGCCCCCAGAGCUCGCUGCCAUGGUCAGCCGCGUGGCGAGCUACAGCUUUGGCGUCGACGGCGACGAAUGGAUCAGGGAGUGCCGGCGCGGCAGUGUCUUGACCGGACGCUAUGAAGGAUUAUUAUGGAGACAUAGAGUGCACCACCCACUGUGCUCUGGGAGAGACAUGGACAUCCUCCCACCACUCCCAAGCGUCCAGAAGUCCAGGUACCACAUGUUCACUACAAUCCUCUCCAAAGAAGAUGGCGCCGGCGGCUUGUCCUACAUGUACAUGUUGGUGGAGGGGGUUGAUGAGAAUAAAGUUUUUAGGGUGCGCGUGUAUAUGUUGCAACGCGGUGUCUGGUGCAUGCACACCUCAUCUAUCACACAUAUCCCUCUUCCGCUGUUGCCACGGAAAGUUGUGCUUGUUGACGAUAAAAUCUAUAUAGCUGACAAGUUCAGUGACGACAUUAUUGUCUUGGAUUUGCCAGCCUCAAGUUUCUCCAAAAUUUCGGUCCCACAGGGAGUGCAGUAUCACCAUUAUACCACCAUCUUGUCACGAGCCGAUGAUGCAUCCGGUGUAUAUCUCACCCAUGUUCAUGUCAAGGAGCUUCAGCUUUGUAUCUGGCUCCACAAGGGGCACAACUGGUUGCUGGUCGAUACCAUUUGUUUGCGUCAGAUGUGGGCUAAUUUGAGGAUGCUAGAUCAUACGGUUGAGGAUGAGGAUGUUGAUUUUCACUUCUUAAGCCACGUGGGGGAUAAUGCUGAGUUUGUGUUCUUGGAAAUGUCUAAUUGCACACUCCAUCUGGACGUCACGAGCAGGACACUACGUAAAGUGGAUGGGACGCCGUUAAAGAAUGGACAUUUCGUUGAUGUCCAUCCCUUUAUGAUGAUUUGGCCACCCAAAUUCCCUCUGCUGAAGGAUGCUACUGCAAGAACGACAUGUGAAGGAGGAUAUCAGGAAGCUUUUGGAUGGUCAGCUACAAUGGUGUCGUCAAGGAAGAGCAGGGAGCCGCAUUUCCUUAGUAGCAGUUCGAACAGUCUUUAUUAUAACUCGUAG
RNAcentral lists this ribosomal RNA (1380 nucleotides) under Triticum aestivum (bread wheat). RNAcentral describes it as "partial small subunit ribosomal RNA". Lineage: Eukaryota; Viridiplantae; Streptophyta; Magnoliopsida; Poales; Poaceae. The record is from RNAcentral.